This 455-nucleotide long non-coding RNA is filed under the name Populus trichocarpa (black cottonwood). RNAcentral's name for it is "long non-coding RNA (PTRI_LNC000557)". The record is from RNAcentral. Lineage: Eukaryota; Viridiplantae; Streptophyta; Magnoliopsida; Malpighiales; Salicaceae.
CCUGGGAGAAACCUUCUCGGGCCCAAAUGGCUUUAACAACACCCCAAGCUCUGCAAACCGUUCUUGUUGCAAAAGGCGCGCACUAAACUCAAGCAAUCCUUCUAAAGCCUCCGCACGCUGUUGGUAUGACGAGGUGUCAAACCGGCGCUGCUGUCUAGAGUCUGAAGAUGAACGGCUUGAAACACCACUUGUUGGAUUAUGCUCCGAGCAUUCACUUCCAAUUCGCUGGCAAGCAUCAGUUACACGGUGCUUGGAUACAGCUCUCUCUAGAACCUGAACUGUACACUUGUCCUUUGUGAUUGAGCAGUCCACGCUGUAGGGUGAUGAAGAGAAUUGUGCUGAAGUUGAUGUUCCAUGGAUGGGAAUCAAAGGAUCUUCAGAAGAGGCUAGUGGAAAUUCUGCGAUCUUGUCAAUUCGUGGAGCAUUCACAGAAACGUUUGGAGAAUCCAUGCUAU